CUAACACAUGCAAGUCGAGCGAAGCGCUGUUUUCAGAAUCUUCGGAGGAAGAGGACAGCGACUGAGCGGCGGACGGGUGAGUAACGCGUGGGCAACCUGCCUCAUACAGGGGGAUAACAGUUAGAAAUGACUGCUAAUACCGCAUAAGCGCACAGGACCGCAUGGUGUAGUGUGAAAAACUCCGGUGGUAUGAGAUGGACCCGCGUCUGAUUAGGUAGUUGGUGGGGUAAAGGCCUACCAAGCCGACGAUCAGUAGCCGACCUGAGAGGGUGACCGGCCACAUUGGGACUGAGACACGGCCCAAACUCCUACGGGAGGCAGCAGUGGGGAAUAUUGCACAAUGGGGGAAACCCUGAUGCAGCGACGCCGCGUGAAGGAAGAAGUAUUUCGGUAUGUAAACUUCUAUCAGCAGGGAAGAAGAUGACGGUACCUGAGUAAGAAGCACCGGCUAAAUACGUGCCAGCAGCCGCGGUAAUACGUAUGGUGCAAGCGUUAUCCGGAUUUACUGGGUGUAAAGGGAGCGUAGACGGAUAGGCAAGUCUGGAGUGAAAACCCAAGGCUCAACCCUGGGACUGCUUUGGAAACUGCAGAUCUGGAGUGCCGGAG
This 606-nucleotide ribosomal RNA is filed under the name uncultured Lachnospiraceae bacterium. Its description in RNAcentral is "bacterial SSU rRNA". It matches the Rfam family "Bacterial small subunit ribosomal RNA", at positions 48 to 654 of the family's 1533-position model. Lineage: Bacteria; Bacillati; Bacillota; Clostridia; Lachnospirales; Lachnospiraceae. The record is from RNAcentral.